This 645-nucleotide ribosomal RNA is filed under the name uncultured bacterium. RNAcentral's name for it is "bacterial SSU rRNA". It matches the Rfam family "Bacterial small subunit ribosomal RNA", at positions 163 to 807 of the family's 1533-position model. The record is from RNAcentral.
UUAAUACCGGAUAGCAUACGAAUAUCGCAUGAUAUUUUUAUUAAAGAAUUUCGGUUAUCGAUGGGGAUGCGUUCCAUUAGUUUGUUGGCGGGGUAACGGCCCACCAAGACUACGAUGGAUAGGGGUUCUGAGAGGAAGGUCCCCCACAUUGGAACUGAGACACGGUCCAAACUCCUACGGGAGGCAGCAGUGAGGAAUAUUGGUCAAUGGGCGAGAGCCUGAACCAGCCAAGUAGCGUGAAGGAUGAAGGCUCUAUGGGUCGUAAACUUCUUUUAUAUGGGAAUAAAGUAUUCCACGUGUGGAAUUUUGUAUGUACCAUAUGAAUAAGGAUCGGCUAACUCCGUGCCAGCAGCCGCGGUAAUACGGAGGAUCCGAGCGUUAUCCGGAUUUAUUGGGUUUAAAGGGAGCGUAGGUGGAUUGUUAAGUCAGUUGUGAAAGUUUGCGGCUCAACCGUAAAAUUGCAGUUGAAACUGGGAGUCUUGAGUACAGUAGAGGUGGGCGGAAUUCGUGGUGUAGCGGUGAAAUGCUUAGAUAUCACGAAGAACUCCGAUUGCGAAGGCAGCUCACUAGACUGUUACUGACACUGAUGCUCGAAAGUGUGGGUAUCAAACACGAUUAGAUACCCUGGUAGUCCACACAGUAAAC